RNAcentral lists this ribosomal RNA (253 nucleotides) under uncultured bacterium. RNAcentral's name for it is "partial 16S ribosomal RNA". It matches the Rfam family "Bacterial small subunit ribosomal RNA", at positions 524 to 776 of the family's 1533-position model. The record is from RNAcentral.
GACGGAGGUCCCUAGCGUUGUUCGGAAUUACUGGGCUUAAAGCGCGUGUAGGCGGGGUGGCAAGUACCGUGUGAAAUCCCCGGGCUCAACCCGGGAAUGGCUCGGUAUACUGUCACUCUUGAGGCAGGUAGGGGUCACUGGAACCUUAGGUGGAGCGGUGAAAUGCGUAGAUAUCUAAGGGAACGCCUGUGGCGAAAGCGGGUGACUGGGCCUGCCCUGACGCUGAGACGCGAAAGCGUAGGGAGCAAACGGG